UCGAGAAUUUUCUCAAUGGGCGAAAGCCUGAAGGAGCGACGCCGCGUGGGGGAUGAAUGGCUUCGGCCCGUAAACCCCUGUCAUUUGCGAACAAACCUCGUGAUUUAACAGAUGACGAGCUGAUUGUAGCGAAAGAGGAAGGGACGGCUAACUCUGUGCCAGCAGCCGCGGUAAUACAGAGGUCCCAAGCGUUGUUCGGAUUCACUGGGCGUAAAGGGUGCGUAGGUGGUUGGGUAAGUCUGAUGUGAAAUCUCCGGGCCUAACCCGGAAACUGCAUCGGAUACUAUUCGACUGGAGGGUUGGAGGGGGACUGGAAUACUUGGUGUAGCAGUGAAAUGCGUAGAUAUCAAGUGGAACACCAGUGGCGAAGGCGAGUCCCUGGACAACUCCUGACACUGAGGCACGAAAGCUAGGGGAGCAAACAGGAUUAGAUACCCUAGUAGUCCCUGAGCGGGCUGGCAAGGCGCAU
This 469-nucleotide ribosomal RNA is filed under the name uncultured bacterium. RNAcentral describes it as "bacterial SSU rRNA". It matches the Rfam family "Bacterial small subunit ribosomal RNA", at positions 355 to 825 of the family's 1533-position model. The record is from RNAcentral.